This 71-nucleotide transfer RNA is filed under the name Stegodyphus mimosarum. It matches the Rfam family "tRNA". Rfam says of the family: Transfer RNA (tRNA) molecules are approximately 80 nucleotides in length. Their secondary structure includes four short double-helical elements and three loops (D, anti-codon, and T loops). The record is from Rfam by way of RNAcentral. Lineage: Eukaryota; Metazoa; Arthropoda; Arachnida; Araneae; Eresidae.
GCCUUCGUGAUGUAAUGGUAGCAAACUCGGCUUGUAUUCGAGAGGUCCAGAUUCGUCUCCCGGCGAGGACA